This 1024-nucleotide small RNA is filed under the name Arabidopsis thaliana (thale cress). RNAcentral describes it as "ATSL082930". The record is from RNAcentral. Lineage: Eukaryota; Viridiplantae; Streptophyta; Magnoliopsida; Brassicales; Brassicaceae.
AUAAACCCAAAUGUUAAACUUCAGUUUCGUAAAUUAGUUACCUUCAAUUGCUUCCUUUUUGCUGGAUAAUCAGAUUUUCUUCAGAUUGUUGAAAGGAAGAAGACGAAGACGACAGUUUGUAUUUUUUUAUAUUUUUUUUUCUUGGUUACGUUUUUGUUGUCUUUUCACGGUUCCCUUCCUUUUUUGUUUUUGGGUUAUAGUGAAUUUUUGGGCUUUAGUGUUUUUUGGGCUUUUAGUGUUUUUUUACUAAAACAGUUUGUUUUUCUAAAUAACAGGCCUAGGCCCAAUUAGUAAUAGAUACAGUGUUUAACAUUACUGUAACUUUUUCAACGGUUGAUAUUCUCUUUUAAAAACGGUUGUAAAUCAUUUUAAAAACGGUUGUAGAUCUUUUCAAAGUGACUGACCCUAAUUCGGUGAAGAUGUCAGCAGCCAAUCCCUGUUUAAUUUGUUUUUAGGUUAUAGUGAAUUUUUGGGCUUUAGUGUUUUUGGGGCUUUUAGUUUUUUUUAAACUAAAACAGUUUGUUUUUCUAAAUAACAGGCCUAGGCCCAACUAGUAACAAAUACAGUGUUUAACAUUACUGUAACUUUUUCAACGGUUGAAAUUUUCUUUUAAAAACGGUUGUAAAUCAUUUUAAAAACGGUUGUAAAUCUUUUCAUAAUAACAGUUACUGCAGCUUUUUCAACACUUUUAAAACGCUUUUAAAACAGCUUAUAAAUCGUUUGUAAAUCUCUUUUAAAAACGGUUGUAAAUCAUUUUAAAAACGAUUGUAAAUUUUUUUCAUAAUAACCGCUACUGCAGCUUUUUCAACACUUUUAAAAUCCUUAUAAAGCAGCUUGUAAAUCGUUUAAAAACCCUGUUUAAAAGCAUGUUUAAAGUCCUUUUCCAUUCAAAUCAAAGCACCUGUUAACCCAAACAACCAUUAUACAGUAAUUUUGUAAAACAGGAGUUGAACUAAAUAAACUUCAUAAAUCUUGUUCCAUACAGAUGUUCAUGAAAUAUUCAAAUGACAAAGUUUUAUGAAAU